This 253-nucleotide ribosomal RNA is filed under the name uncultured bacterium. Its description in RNAcentral is "partial 16S ribosomal RNA". It matches the Rfam family "Bacterial small subunit ribosomal RNA", at positions 524 to 776 of the family's 1533-position model. The record is from RNAcentral.
UACGUAGGCAGCAAGCGUUGUUCGGAAUUACUGGGCGUAAAGAGUGUGUAGGCGGUGCUCUAAGUUUGGUGUGAAAUCUCCCGGCUCAACUGGGAGGGUGCGCCGAAAACUGGAAUGCUUGAACAUGGGAGAGGAAAGCGGAAUUCCUGGUGUAGCGGUGAAAUGCGUAGAUAUCAAGAGGAACACCUGCGGUGUAGACGGCUUUCUGGACCAUUGUUGACGCUGAGACACGAAAGCGUGGGUAGCAAACAGG